RNAcentral lists this long non-coding RNA (1245 nucleotides) under Felis catus (domestic cat). RNAcentral describes it as "lncRNA (ENSFCAG00000051988.1)". Lineage: Eukaryota; Metazoa; Chordata; Mammalia; Carnivora; Felidae. The record is from RNAcentral.
GGAAGGGGAGGGGGAGCCCCAAAAAGGAGGAAAUGAGGAUUUGGCGGCUCUUGCUUUAUUUCUGCAAAAUGCACUUUCCAGGUGGCCCCGCGCGGCUCCGGCCUGGCCCGGAUCCCCCGCGCCUCCGCCCGGCCCGGCCCCCGGGCGCCCCCGAGCCCUCCCGCCGCCGGCCGCCGGGACGCGGUCGGGCCCCGGCCUCUGCCCCUCCGGGCUCGGGCCCCGCGCAGCACUCACCUCGGCCGGGCUGCGCUCCCCGCGGGCCUGCGCCGAGCCCGAUAAAUGAUCUUUCCAGAAAGGAUUUGAGGCUGCUUAGAAGAUCCAAUAGGUGAAGGGAGAUUAACCAGAGAGACUGGCUGUAUUUCUUGCACCCUUGGUACUGCCUCAGAGCUGGUCAGGACCAGACUGGAUUUGAACCCAGAGCCUCGGAUCCCAAUACAAUGUCAUCCACGCUAUUACUACCUGUUCCAUUGAUUCCGGAGGACUCCCACAUCUCUGUGAGAGAUUUCCUUCUUUCCACCUCUUAAUUUUGUGCACACAUAUAUAUGCACGUAUAUUUACACAUAUGUAUAUGUAUGUGUAUGUAUAUAUAUAUAUUAUGUGUGUGUAUGUAUAUACACGUGUGUAUGUGUGCAUUUAAUUUAUUGAAGAUCAGCUGUGAGCCUGGUGGACUUUUAUAAAUGUCAUCUUUUCCCCAAACAUUUGUGCCAGACACAUCUUAGAAGCUGGGAUACAGCGGUGGAACACAUUUUAAACAUUUAAACACACUGUGGUAAGUGCUAGGUGGGACAAGAAUCUGGAGCUGUGUCUAUUUACUUCAUUCUCACAAAGAUCCAGGAAAGUUGGUUUGGGCAUGCCCGUUUUACAGAUGGGAAACUAAGGCUGGGAGAGUGACCCGUCCAAGGUGGCAGUUCUGACUCCAGAGCCUGUGUGUUCUACACAUACUCCUAUUAUUUCUACUAUUUGCCUUAAGGAAGCCUUGAAAGGCGGGGGGGGGGGGGGGGGGGGGAAGGGGAAUGCACCUGCACCAUCCGGAAUUUCUCAGACUCUUUUUUCUGUGUGUGCUUUCUGUCUCCUAGAUACUCUAAGAUUAAAGAACAUAAAAGGUAGCUUCUGGCAUGAAGAGGAUGGGGAUUUUUUAUUCAAAAAUGAAAAGCUGAGAUACUCCUGAAACCAUUGUUGCACUAUAUAUAUGCUAACUUGGACGUAAAUUAAACAAAUAAAUGUAAUUUUAAAAAAUGAAAAGCA